CCUACGGGGGGCAGCAGUGGGGAAUAUUGGACAAUGGGGGCAACCCUGAUCCAGCCAUGCCGCGUGUGUGAAGAAGGCCCUCGGGUUGUAAAGCACUUUCAGUGAGGAAGAACGCCUGGUGGUUAAUACCCAUCAGGAAAGACAUCACUCACAGAAGAAGCACCGGCUAACUCCGUGCCAGCAGCCGCGGUAAUACGGAGGGUGCGAGCGUUAAUCGGAAUUACUGGGCGUAAAGCGCGCGUAGGUGGCUUGAUAAGCCGGUUGUGAAAGCCCCGGGCUCAACCUGGGAACGGCAUCCGGAACUGUCAAGCUAGAGUGCAGGAGAGGAAGGUAGAAUUCCCGGUGUAGCGGUGAAAUGCGUAGAGAUCGGGAGGAAUACCAGUGGCGAAGGCGGCCUUCUGGACUGACACUGACACUGAGGUGCGAAAGCGUGGGUAGCAAACAGGAUUAGUACCCUUGUAGUC
This 464-nucleotide ribosomal RNA is filed under the name Vreelandella stevensii. RNAcentral describes it as "partial 16S ribosomal RNA". It matches the Rfam family "Bacterial small subunit ribosomal RNA", at positions 338 to 795 of the family's 1533-position model. Lineage: Bacteria; Pseudomonadati; Pseudomonadota; Gammaproteobacteria; Oceanospirillales; Halomonadaceae. The record is from RNAcentral.